RNAcentral lists this ribosomal RNA (482 nucleotides) under uncultured bacterium. RNAcentral describes it as "bacterial SSU rRNA". It matches the Rfam family "Bacterial small subunit ribosomal RNA", at positions 30 to 506 of the family's 1533-position model. The record is from RNAcentral.
AUUGAACGCUGGCGGCAUGCCUUACACAUGCAAGUCGAACGGCAGCACGGGAGCAAUCCUGGUGGCGAGUGGCGAACGGGUGAGUAAUAUAUCGGAACGUGCCCGGUCGUGGGGAUAACGUAGCGAAAGCUACGCUAAUACCGCAUACGAUCUACGGAUGAAAGCGGGGGAUCGCAAGACCUCGCGCGAUUGGAGCGGCCGAUAUCAGAUUAGGUAGUUGGUGAGGUAAAGGCUCACCAAGCCGACGAUCUGUAGCUGGUCUGAGAGGACGACCAGCCACACUGGGACUGAGACACGGCCCAGACUCCUACGGGAGGCAGCAGUGGGAAUUUUGGACAAUGGGCGCAAGCCUGAUCCAGCAAUGCCGCGUGCAGGAUGAAGGCCUUCGGGUUGUAAACUGCUUUGUACGGUAACGAAACGGUGAGCUCUAAUACAGUUUGCUAAUGACGGUACCGUAAGAAUAAGCACCGGCUAACUAACGU